RNAcentral lists this long non-coding RNA (495 nucleotides) under Spirodela polyrhiza (greater duckweed). RNAcentral describes it as "long non-coding RNA (SPOL_LNC001075)". The record is from RNAcentral. Lineage: Eukaryota; Viridiplantae; Streptophyta; Magnoliopsida; Alismatales; Araceae.
UGAAAUAUGAGCAACUCAUUUAGGAAAGAAUCUUGACAGGCAAAGGGGUCCCAACUUAUUAGAGUGAUAUGUCUAUGUAAAAUAACUAAUUUUGGACUAAAUAUAUUUCACAUCUUUUUUAAGUUGAUGAUAAUUGUCAAAUCACUAAAUUAUUUGAUCUAGUGAUGUAGAAUAUGUGAUGUCACUCAUAUUCAAGUGAUGGAGUGGUGGAGGUUUGAAUCGUAGAAUCCACACAUAUUUAUCAAGGUUUUAAAAGUGCUAGAUCAUUAUAGUAUUGAAUGACGCACAAAAUAUUAUAUUGUCUUAACUUUUAGUAAAAGUGGUAAAAGUAUUUUAGGUAAAGGCGUGAGGUGCUCUAAGCCCUAUUUGGCCCAAAACGAAUUAGAGGUCAAAGCUGAGGUAUUAAGUUGUUAAUACCAUUAAUUUUACUGUGUAUUUAUAAGGAAAAUAGUUGAAAACUGGUAUGAAAGCUCUUAUGAGACUAGAAGUAGCUAG